CAGACAUGUUGCUGUUGCUUGGAGCCUGUUCGCAGCCAAGUGGGAGAGUGUUUCCACAAAGUUCCAUUCCAGUGAAAACACGAGGAUAAAUGCAAUAAAGCAAACUACAAGGAGGAGGUUUUCAACUGACUGGAUGAGGCCCAUCCACAUUCAGAAGGGCCUUCUGCUUCAGAGUCUACUAAUUCAAAUAUCAACUUCAUCCCAAACCACAGAAACACAUCCAGAAUAAUAGCUGGGCACCCUGUGGCCAGGUCAAGUUGACGUUUAAAAUGUCAACUGUGUCCUCAGGAGACAAGAUGGCCGAAUAUCCUGCCAGAUGGCAUUUGUCUGUGUUUUAAUCAAAAUGCCCUGUUCUCUCCCCACAAUGUGAAACAGCCACAUACUGUUCAGGUCAGACACAAGAAAUAGCACAGAAGCCCACAGUCGUUUUUCAAGUUUGGGAGGUCAGAAAACAGGCCCAAGUGCUGUUUAGGUUUAAUUCUGUCUCCCCAGUGCCAGCCUUGGGCUCUGGGAACAAUGGUCCCUGUAGUCAGCUGUAAGCAGGUCUUGAGAGGUGAAGUCCUGAGCAAACACAAGUAGGGCUCAGGGAGAGACUGAGGACAGGAGCUCAAAUAGCAUUUCCUUCCAAUCCCAUCUCCCUGUAUGGGUGAUGGGCAAGGCUCUGAACACAUGGUCUCAUCCAGGCUUUUCAACCAUUGACAGAAUAGUGGUCAUAUCAUUUUUCUUUUUAUUAAUUUAGAGAUGGGUCUCACUGUGUUGCCCAGGCAGACCUGGAACUUGUUAAGUAGACUAGGCUACCUUGAACUCAUUAGAGAUCCUCCUGC
Long non-coding RNA from Nannospalax galili (Upper Galilee mountains blind mole rat), 824 nucleotides. RefSeq lists it as uncharacterized. The transcript is spliced from 3 exons. The record is from RefSeq and is a predicted model, not a curated record. Lineage: Eukaryota; Metazoa; Chordata; Mammalia; Rodentia; Spalacidae.